UGUCCCCUGCGGUGUUCGUCAGGCUCAUAAUUCUUUGGACCCAUAAGCUACGGCUUAGGUUGCGACCCUCGAUGUUACUGUUGUGCGCGUCCCCAACGUAUUUAUCUGGCGGAUGUACCUGAUGUAACUGGGAAGCAGCCCUCUUGAACCCAGGUUCAAGAUGCUGAGUCAACGGCACAGGCGGGGGGCUC
This 191-nucleotide non-coding RNA is filed under the name Gallionellales bacterium RIFCSPHIGHO2_02_FULL_57_16. RNAcentral describes it as "6S RNA". It matches the Rfam family "6S / SsrS RNA". Rfam says of the family: E. coli 6S RNA was the first non coding RNA to be sequenced, but its function was unknown until recently. It consists of 184 nucleotides that fold into an extended hairpin structure with a large single-stranded internal bulge. Lineage: Bacteria; Pseudomonadati; Pseudomonadota; Betaproteobacteria; Nitrosomonadales. The record is from RNAcentral. RNAcentral also lists the same sequence under 1 other name.